Setaria italica (foxtail millet) is the source of this 2624-nucleotide RNA transcript. It is a transcript of the gene named cation/H(+) antiporter 19, with no coding region annotated. The record is from RefSeq and is a predicted model, not a curated record. NCBI's taxonomy places the organism in Eukaryota, Viridiplantae, Streptophyta, Magnoliopsida, Poales, Poaceae. The transcript has 3 exons.
UCUUGGCAGCCAGAACGUGGUCAAGUCAUCGGUGAGCUAGGUUGUCCAGGUCUCCAGGAGUUGGUAUCGAUGGCGAAGGUGGCGUCGCACGGGGCGUUCCAGGGGGAGAACCCGCUGGACUACGCGCUGCCGCUCAUCAUCCUGCAGAUCUGCCUCGUCCUCGUCGUCACCCGCGGCCUCGCCUACCUCCUCCGCCCGCUCCGGCAACCCCGCGUCAUCGCCGAGAUCAUCGGAGGGAUCCUGCUAGGCCCGUCGGCGCUUGGCCGGAGCACCAAGUUCCUGCACACCGUCUUCCCGCCGGAGAGCAUGACGGUGCUGGACACGCUGGCCAACCUCGGCCUCCUCUUCUUCCUCUUCCUCGUCGGCCUCGAGCUCGACAUCUCCGCCAUCCGCCGCACGGGGAGGAAGGCCCUCGCCAUCUCCCUCUCCGGCAUCGCGCUCCCCUUCGCGCUCGGCGUCGGCACCUCCUUCGCCUUCCGCGCAACCAUCGUCAAGGACGCCCCCCACGCGCCGUUCCUCGUCUUCAUGGGCGUCGCGCUCUCCAUCACCGCGUUCCCGGUGCUCGCCCGCAUCCUCACCGAGCUCAAGCUCCUGACCACGGACCUCGGCCGCAUGGCGCUCUCCGCCGCCGCAGUCGACGACGUCAUGGCGUGGAUCCUCCUCGCGCUCGCCAUCGCGCUCUCGGGAUCCAGCUCGCCGAUCAUCUCGCUCUGGGUGCUCCUCACCGCCGCCGCCUUCGUCGCCGCCGCGUUCCUGCUCGUGAGGCCGGUGCUCGCGUGGAUGGCGCGACAGUGCCGCGAGGGAGAGCCCGUCAAGGAGCUCUACGUCUGCGCCACCCUCGCCAUCGUCCUCGCUGGCGGCUUCCUCACCGACGUCAUCGGCAUCCACGCGCUGUUCGGCGGGUUCGUCGUCGGCGUCGUCGUCCCCAAGGACGGGCCGUUCGCCGGCAUGCUCAUCGAGAAGGUCGAGGACCUCGUCUCCGGGCUCUUCCUCCCGCUGUACUUCGUCUCCAGCGGCCUCAAGACCAACGUGGCAACCAUCAGCGGAGCCAAGUCAUGGGGUUUGCUCGUCCUCGUCAUCGCCAACGCGUGCAUCGGCAAGAUCGGCGGCGCGGUGGCGACGGCCCUGCUCGUCAAGAUCCCCGUCCGGGAGGCCGUCACGCUCGGCUUCCUGAUGAACACCAAGGGGCUCGUCGAGCUCGUCGUGCUCAACAUCGGAAGGGACCGCAAGGUUCUCAACGACGAGGCCUUCGCCAUCAUGGUGCUCAUGGCGCUCUUCACCACCUUCAUCACGACGCCGAUCGUCAUGGCCGUCUACAAGCCGGCGCGGCCGUCGGCGCCGUACAAGCGCCGCACGGUGGCCGGCGGCGACGACGCCGACGAGCUGCGCGUGCUCGCCUGCUUCCACUCCAGCCGCGACGUCCCGACGCUGCUCAACCUCGGGGAGGCGUCGCGGGGCACCGGCCGCCGCCGCCUCGCCGUGUACGCCAUGCACCUCGUGGAGCUAUCGGAGAGGUCGUCGGCGAUCACCAUGGUCCAGCGCGCCCGCCGCAACGGCGUGCCCUUCUUCAACAGCGCCGACAGGGGGGACGGUCAGCUGGUGGUGGCGUUCGAGGCGUUCCAGCGGCUGAGCUCCGUGCGGGUGCGCGCCAUGACCGCCAUCUCCGACCUCGACACCAUCCACCGCGACGUCAUCGACAGCGCAGCCGGCAAGCGCGCCGCCAUCGUCGUCAUGCCCUACCACAAGGCGCUCCAGCCCGACGGCUCCCUCCAGUCGCUCGGCUCGGUGUACCACGCCAUUAACAAGCGCGUGCUCCGCGAGGCGCCCUGCUCCGUCGCUAUCCUCGUCGACCGCGGCCUCGGCGGCCCCGCCCAGGUCUCCGCCCAGAACGUGUCCCUGUCCGUCGCGGCGCUCUUCUUCGGCGGGCCCGACGACUGCGAGGCGCUGGCCUACGCGACGCGCAUGGCGGAGCACCCGGGCGUGGCCGUCACGUUGGCAAGGUUCCGGACGAGCCGUCCGCCGCACUCCGACGAGGAGUUUGCCGACGACGAGGCGGCGGUCGAGGCGUUCAAGUCCAAGGUCGGCGGCGUGAAGGACGGGUCGGUGCGGUUCGAGGAGCGGGAGGGGUGCAGCAAGGAGGAGGUGCUCGAGAGCAUCGGCUCUCUGGCCAAGUCCAACGUGUUCGUGGUGGGGCGGAUGCCGCCGGCGCCGGCGCUGGUGGAGAAUCCCGACGAGCUGGGCCCCGUGGGGAGCUACCUGGCGUCGCCGGAGUUCAGGACGUCGGCGUCGGUGCUGGUGAUCAAGAGGUACGACCCGGCGACGAACCCGAAGAGCAGGAGGUUCGACCCGGAGGCGAGGCCGCCGGUGGCGACGGAGGAGGACGUGCUGGACGAGGCGGAGAUGGGCAGAUCCAGCGUGGUGCCGGUGACGUGGUCGCCAGGGCCUGAUGCGCAUGGCGCCCAAUAAAGAACCGCACUUGCUGGGAGUGCUUGUUGAGCUUUGUUCCUUUCCUUGUGCAAUCUUCAAGAAAUAGAGCAGAUCGAAGCGAAGCACAUGAGUUGGGUGAAACGGAAGCCUAUCAAACACCACAGCAUUGCGGCUUUUCCAGAUGUUCCAGAAGGAGU